UACGUAGGGUGCGAGCGUUGUCCGGAUUUAUUGGGCGUAAAGAGCUCGUAGGCGGUUUGUCGCGUCGGCCGUGAAAUCUCCACGCUUAACGUGGAGCGUGCGGUCGAUACGGGCAGACUUGGAGUUCGGUAGGGGAGACUGGAAUUCCUGGUGUAGAGGUGAAAUGCGUAGAUAUUACAAGGAACACCAAUGGCGAAGGCAGCUUGCUGGGCCUUUUCUGACGCUGAGGUACGAAAGCGUGGGGAGCGAACGAGG
RNAcentral lists this ribosomal RNA (255 nucleotides) under uncultured bacterium. RNAcentral describes it as "partial 16S ribosomal RNA". It matches the Rfam family "Bacterial small subunit ribosomal RNA", at positions 524 to 777 of the family's 1533-position model. The record is from RNAcentral.